UACGAAGGGUGCAAGCGUUGCUCGGAAUUAUUGGGCGUAAAGGGUAGGUAGGUGGUGACAUUUGUCUGGGGUGAAAUCCCUGAGCUUAACUCAGGAAGUGCCUUGGAAACGGUGUCACUAGAGUACUGGAGAGGUUCGCAGAAUUCUUGGUGUAGCGGUGAAAUGCGUAGAGAUCAAGAGGAAUACCAGAGGCGAAGGCGGCGAACUGGACAGUAACUGACACUAAACUACGAAAGCGUGGGGAGCAAACAGG
Molecule: ribosomal RNA, 253 nt
Filed under: uncultured bacterium
Lineage: Bacteria
Description: partial 16S ribosomal RNA
Rfam family: Bacterial small subunit ribosomal RNA
Source: RNAcentral